AGCAGCCGCGGUAAUUCCAGCUCCAAUAGCGUAUAUUAAAGUUGUUGCAGUUAAAAAGCUCGUAGUCGAAUUUCGGGACCAAUUUGUUGGUCGUGCCUCGGUACGUACUGGUAUUAUUGGUUUCUCCCUUCUGAAGAACCUCGAUGCCAUUAAUUUGGUGUCGUGGGGAAUCAGGACUGUUACUUUGAAAAAAUUAGAGUGUUUAAAGCAAGCAUACGCUUGAAUACAUUAGCAUGGAAUAAUGAAAUAGGACGUUUGAUUCUAUUUUGUUGGUUUCUAGGAUCGACGUAAUGAUUAAUAGGGAUAGUUGGGGGCAUUAGUAUUCAAUUGUCAGAGGUGAAAUUCUUGGAUUUAUUGAAGACUAACUACUGCGAAAGCAUUUGCCAAGGAUGUUUUCAUUAAUCAAGAACGAAAGUUAGGGGAUCGAAGACGAUCAGAUACCGUCGUAGUCUUAACCAUAAACUAUGCCGACUAGGGAUCGGAUGAUGUUAAUUUUUUAAUGACUCA
RNAcentral lists this ribosomal RNA (507 nucleotides) under uncultured Glomeraceae. Its description in RNAcentral is "SSU rRNA". It matches the Rfam family "Eukaryotic small subunit ribosomal RNA", at positions 569 to 1078 of the family's 1831-position model. The record is from RNAcentral. Lineage: Eukaryota; Fungi; Glomeromycota; Glomeromycetes; Glomerales; Glomeraceae.